Molecule: long non-coding RNA, 621 nt
Organism: Scylla paramamosain (green mud crab)
Lineage: Eukaryota; Metazoa; Arthropoda; Malacostraca; Decapoda; Portunidae
Exons: 4
Source: RefSeq, a predicted model, not a curated record
AGAAAGAAAAACAAAAGAUGACAGGAAACGCCACAGUGUUUCGAACACCUCAACUAGUGAUUAGCCGUCUCGUCCACCGCCAAAGCUCGACUUAAUUGCUUCAGUGGACCCCAGCCGCCAAGGUUGGAGAACACCCUCUCUUAUGGACUUCUGUUGCUGCUGCUGCUGAGAGCUUGCUGUGAGUGUGUCCAACCAAGCUUCCGUUGUCGAAGGAAGAACUACUACUACUUACUACCUACUACUUACUACAUCUUAUGUAAUAAGUUAAGGGUUCAAGUGUUGCUGAGGGAAACAAUACUCCACAGCUAUUGGUUUCCCUGUGCUCGCCUCUUAAAACCAAACCCACGCCAUUAUAGACUUCCCUAUUCAACUCUUAAAACCAAACUCCAUUUCGUCUUUCACACUUAAAGAGUCUUGAAGUGUCCACCACAGCUGCAGUGAACCGUCAUGUUGGGCUGCUUCACCUGCAGGAGGAACACUGGUUUUCACACUGCAGAUCCUGAAGAACAAGAGCCAUGGAAUUGUUCUGAAUCAAGUCAAUCAGCUGCUGCUCGAUGUCUCCCGUGGAGUACCUGGUGUCACACACCGGACAAAGCCACACACGCCUGAGGAUGAUGUAGU